Molecule: ribosomal RNA, 704 nt
Filed under: Staphylococcus aureus
Lineage: Bacteria; Bacillati; Bacillota; Bacilli; Caryophanales; Staphylococcaceae
Description: partial 23S ribosomal RNA
Rfam family: Bacterial large subunit ribosomal RNA
Source: RNAcentral
GUAGGCGAUGGAUAACAGGUUGAUAUUCCUGUACCACCUAUAAUCGUUUUAAUCGAUGGGGGGACGCAGUAGGAUAGGCGAAGCGUGCGAUUGGAUUGCACGUCUAAGCAGUAAGGCUGAGUAUUAGGCAAAUCCGGUACUCAUUAAGGCUGAGCUGUGAUGGGGAGAAGACAUUGUGUCUUCGAGUCGUUGAUUUCACACUGCCGAGAAAAGCCUCUAGAUAGAAAAUAGGUGCCCGUACCGCAAACCGACACAGGUAGUCAAGAUGAGAAUUCUAAGGUGAGCGAGCGAACUCUCGUUAAGGAACUCGGCAAAAUGACCCCGUAACUUCGGGAGAAGGGGUGCUCUUUAGGGUUAACGCCCAGAAGAGCCGCAGUGAAUAGGCCCAAGCGACUGUUUAUCAAAAACACAGGUCUCUGCUAAACCGUAAGGUGAUGUAUAGGGGCUGACGCCUGCCCGGUGCUGGAAGGUUAAGAGGAGUGGUUAGCUUCUGCGAAGCUACGAAUCGAAGCCCCAGUAAACGGCGGCCGUAACUAUAACGGUCCUAAGGUAGCGAAAUUCCUUGUCGGGUAAGUUCCGACCCGCACGAAAGGCGUAACGAUUUGGGCACUGUCUCAACGAGAGACUCGGUGAAAUCAUAGUACCUGUGAAGAUGCAGGUUACCCGCGACAGGACGGAAAGACCCCGUGGAGCUUUACUGUAGC